GGGUUGUGAGGUUAAGCGACUAAGCGUACACGGUGGAUGCCCUGGCAGUCAGAGGCGAUGAAGGACGUGCUAAUCUGCGAUAAGCGUCGGUAAGGUGAUAUGAACCGUUAUAACCGGCGAUUUCCGAAUGGGGAAACCCAGUGUGUUUCGACACACUAUCAUUAACUGAAUCCAUAGGUUAAUGAGGCGAACCGGGGGAACUGAAACAUCUAAGUACCCCGAGGAAAAGAAAUCAACCGAGAUUCCCCCAGUAGCGGCGAGCGAACGGGGAGCAGCCCAGAGCCUGAAUCAGUGUGUGUGUUAGUGGAAGCGUCUGGAAAGGCGCGCGAUACAGGGUGACAGCCCCGUACACAAAAAUGCACAUGCUGUGAGCUCGAUGAGUAGGGCGGGACACGUGGUAUCCUGUCUGAAUAUGGGGGGACCAUCCUCCAAGGCUAAAUACUCCUGACUGACCGAUAGUGAACCAGUACCGUGAGGGAAAGGCGAAAAGAACCCCGGCGAGGGGAGUGAAAAAGAACCUGAAACCGUGUACGUACAAGCAGUGGGAGCACGCUUAGGCGUGUGACUGCGUACCUUUUGUAUAAUGGGUCAGCGACUUAUAUUCUGUAGCAAGGUUAACCGAAUAGGGGAGCCGAAGGGAAACCGAGUCUUAACUGGGCGUUAAGUUGCAGGGUAUAGACCCGAAACCCGGUGAUCUAGCCAUGGGCAGGUUGAAGGUUGGGUAACACUAACUGGAGGACCGAACCGACUAAUGUUGAAAAAUUAGCGGAUGACUUGUGGCUGGGGGUGAAAGGCCAAUCAAACCGGGAGAUAGCUGGUUCUCCCCGAAAGCUAUUUAGGUAGCGCCUCGUGAAUUCAUCUCCGGGGGUAGAGCACUGUUUCGGCAAGGGGGUCAUCCCGACUUACCAACCCGAUGCAAACUGCGAAUACCGGAGAAUGUUAUCACGGGAGACACACGGCGGGUGCUAACGUCCGUCGUGAAGAGGGAAACAACCCAGACCGCCAGCUAAGGUCCCAAAGUCAUGGUUAAGUGGGAAACGAUGUGGGAAGGCCCAGACAGCCAGGAUGUUGGCUUAGAAGCAGCCAUCAUUUAAAGAAAGCGUAAUAGCUCACUGGUCGAGUCGGCCUGCGCGGAAGAUGUAACGGGGCUAAACCAUGCACCGAAGCUGCGGCAGCGACGCUGAUGCGUUGUUGGGUAGGGGAGCGUUCUGUAAGCCUGCGAAGGUGUGCUGUGAGGCAUGCUGGAGGUAUCAGAAGUGCGAAUGCUGACAUAAGUAACGAUAAAGCGGGUGAAAAGCCCGCUCGCCGGAAGACCAAGGGUUCCUGUCCAACGUUAAUCGGGGCAGGGUGAGUCGACCCCUAAGGCGAGGCCGAAAGGCGUAGUCGAUGGGAAACAGGUUAAUAUUCCUGUACUUGGUGUUACUGCGAAGGGGGGACGGAGAAGGCUAUGUUGGCCGGGCGACGGUUGUCCCGGUUUAAGCGUGUAGGCUGGUUUUCCAGGCAAAUCCGGAAAAUCAAGGCUGAGGCGUGAUGACGAGGCACUACGGUGCUGAAGCAACAAAUGCCCUGCUUCCAGGAAAAGCCUCUAAGCAUCAGGUAACAUCAAAUCGUACCCCAAACCGACACAGGUGGUCAGGUAGAGAAUACCAAGGCGCUUGAGAGAACUCGGGUGAAGGAACUAGGCAAAAUGGUGCCGUAACUUCGGGAGAAGGCACGCUGAUAUGUAGGUGAAGUCCCUUGCGGAUGGAGCUGAAAUCAGUCGAAGAUACCAGCUGGCUGCAACUGUUUAUUAAAAACACAGCACUGUGCAAACACGAAAGUGGACGUAUACGGUGUGACGCCUGCCCGGUGCCGGAAGGUUAAUUGAUGGGGUCAGCGCAAGCGAAGCUCUUGAUCGAAGCCCCGGUAAACGGCGGCCGUAACUAUAACGGUCCUAAGGUAGCGAAAUUCCUUGUCGGGUAAGUUCCGACCUGCACGAAUGGCGUAAUGAUGGCCAGGCUGUCUCCACCCGAGACUCAGUGAAAUUGAACUCGCUGUGAAGAUGCAGUGUACCCGCGGCAAGACGGAAAGACCCCGUGAACCUUUACUAUAGCUUGACACUGAACAUUGAGCCUUGAUGUGUAGGAUAGGUGGGAGGCUUUGAAGUGUGGACGCCAGUCUGCAUGGAGCCGACCUUGAAAUACCACCCUUUAAUGUUUGAUGUUCUAACGUUGACCCGUAAUCCGGGUUGCGGACAGUGUCUGGUGGGUAGUUUGACUGGGGCGGUCUCCUCCUAAAGAGUAACGGAGGAGCACGAAGGUUGGCUAAUCCUGGUCGGACAUCAGGAGGUUAGUGCAAUGGCAUAAGCCAGCUUGACUGCGAGCGUGACGGCGCGAGCAGGUGCGAAAGCAGGUCAUAGUGAUCCGGUGGUUCUGAAUGGAAGGGCCAUCGCUCAACGGAUAAAAGGUACUCCGGGGAUAACAGGCUGAUACCGCCCAAGAGUUCAUAUCGACGGCGGUGUUUGGCACCUCGAUGUCGGCUCAUCACAUCCUGGGGCUGAAGUAGGUCCCAAGGGUAUGGCUGUUCGCCAUUUAAAGUGGUACGCGAGCUGGGUUUAGAACGUCGUGAGACAGUUCGGUCCCUAUCUGCCGUGGGCGCUGGAGAACUGAGGGGGGCUGCUCCUAGUACGAGAGGACCGGAGUGGACGCAUCACUGGUGUUCGGGUUGUCAUGCCAAUGGCACUGCCCGGUAGCUAAAUGCGGAAGAGAUAAGUGCUGAAAGCAUCUAAGCACGAAACUUGCCCCGAGAUGAGUUCUCCCUGACCCUUUAAGGGUCCUGAAGGAACGUUGAAGACGACGACGUUGAUAGGCCGGGUGUGUAAGCGCAGCGAUGCGUUGAGCUAACCGGUACUAAUGAACCGUGAGGCUUAACCUUACAACGCCGAAGGUGUUU
RNAcentral lists this ribosomal RNA (2931 nucleotides) under Escherichia coli. Its description in RNAcentral is "bacterial LSU rRNA". It matches the Rfam family "Bacterial large subunit ribosomal RNA". Lineage: Bacteria; Pseudomonadati; Pseudomonadota; Gammaproteobacteria; Enterobacterales; Enterobacteriaceae. The record is from RNAcentral.